Molecule: ribosomal RNA, 484 nt
Filed under: uncultured bacterium
Lineage: Bacteria
Description: partial 16S ribosomal RNA
Rfam family: Bacterial small subunit ribosomal RNA
Source: RNAcentral
AUUGAACGCUGGCGGCAGGCCUAACACAUGCGAGUCGAGCGGAUGAAGGGAGCUUGCUCCUGGAUUCAGCGGCGGACGGGUGAGUAAUGCCUAGGAAUCUGCCUGGUAGUGGGGGAUAACGUCCGGAAACGGGCGCUAAUACCGCAUACGUCCUGAGGGAGAAAGUGGGGGAUCUUCGGACCUCACGCUAUCGGAUGAGCCUAGGUCGGAUUAGCUAGUUGGUGGGGUAAAGGCCUACCAAGGCGACGAUCCGUAACUGGUCUGAGAGGAUGAUCAGUCACACUGGAACUGAGACACGGUCCAGACUCCUACGGGAGGCAGCAGUGGGGAAUAUUGGACAAUGGGCGAAAGCCUGAUCCAGCCAUGCCGCGUGUGUGAAGAAGGUCUUCGGAUUGUAAAGCACUUUAAGUUGGGAGGAAGGGCAGUAAGUUAAUACCUUGCUGUUUUGACGUUACCAACAGAAUAAGCACCGGCUAACUUCGUG